RNAcentral lists this transfer RNA (104 nucleotides) under Colletotrichum orchidophilum. It matches the Rfam family "tRNA". Rfam says of the family: Transfer RNA (tRNA) molecules are approximately 80 nucleotides in length. Their secondary structure includes four short double-helical elements and three loops (D, anti-codon, and T loops). Lineage: Eukaryota; Fungi; Ascomycota; Sordariomycetes; Glomerellales; Glomerellaceae. The record is from Rfam by way of RNAcentral.
GGUCUGGUGGUGUAGUUGGUUAUCACGUCAGUCUAACAUGCCGAGCAUCAUAGCAUGUCUCGCCAGUUCACUGAAGGUCUCCGGUUCAAGUCCGGGCUAGAUCA